GUGUCAGCCGCCGCGGUAAGACGUAUGGUGCGAACGUUGCUCGGAUUUACUGGGCCUAAAGGGCGCGUAGGCGGUUCGGUAAGUCCGAUGUGAAAUCCCCCGGCUCAACCGGGGAACUGCAUCGGAUACUGCCGGACUAGAGUGCAGGAGGGGAGAGUGGAAUUCCCGGUGGAGCGGUGAAAUGCGUAGAUAUCGGGAGGAACGCCGGUGGCGAAAGCGACUCUCUGGCCUGUUACUGACGCUGAGGCGCGAAAGCUAGGGGAGCGAACGGGAUUAGAUACCCCGGUAGUCCUAGCCCUAAACGAUAGGCACUUGGUAGAGGAGGUUCCGAUGCCUUCUCUGCCGAAGCUAACGUGAUUAGUGCCCCGCCUGGGGAGUAUGCUCGCAAGGGUGAAACUUAAAUGAAUUGGCGGGG
RNAcentral lists this ribosomal RNA (415 nucleotides) under uncultured prokaryote. Its description in RNAcentral is "bacterial SSU rRNA". It matches the Rfam family "Bacterial small subunit ribosomal RNA", at positions 505 to 918 of the family's 1533-position model. The record is from RNAcentral.